GGCCCAAUGGUCUAGUCGUAUGAUUCUCGCUUUGGGAUACCUAAAAUUGCGAGAGGUCGUGGGUUCAAUUCCCGCUUGGGCCC
Molecule: transfer RNA, 83 nt
Filed under: Auricularia subglabra TFB-10046 SS5
Lineage: Eukaryota; Fungi; Basidiomycota; Agaricomycetes; Auriculariales; Auriculariaceae
Rfam family: tRNA
About the family: Transfer RNA (tRNA) molecules are approximately 80 nucleotides in length. Their secondary structure includes four short double-helical elements and three loops (D, anti-codon, and T loops).
Source: Rfam by way of RNAcentral